GUGUAUCUUCUCUGCAUUGUCUCAGAAAGGAAGAGGCCUUGCAGUCAUUGAUGGCAUCUGAUUACAUCUAGAAAACCACAUGCUCAAGGGGCUAUAUUGCAACUAUGGCUCUCAGGGAGAGUGAAAAUUUUCUGAAUGAUAUGACCUGGAACACAGAAGAACAAAUACCAUACAAAUUCACUCAGAAGAUAAAAGGCAACAGUCUUGAUUCUGAAUGUGAUCUAUGAUGGCUUCAAAGCAAAAGAAUAAGUGCAAGACUGUUAUUCCCCUCCUACCCUCAUGUCUUCUUGAGGAAGAUUGGAACUGUCAGCCUUUGGACCCAAAGGGACAGUAGAUGGAUGGGCUAAACAGCGAAAAGAGGCAGAUACUAGAAAGGUAUGUACGAGAAUCAUUAUUAAUAUGUUGUGGGUUGGUUUUUUUGGUUCGUUUUUUUUUUUCUUUCUCAGUAUUACAUAGAGGAUUUGGAAAACUGUUAUAAGAUUAAUUAGACUAACAGUGGAUUCCAAGCUUCAUACGCAUGUUGUGUUGUCUUUUGCCUGUAACAAUUUGAAUGCAAGACUGUGGCAGCUCUUACCAAGCAAGCCGUGCUCCAAGUUCUGGAUUUUCUGCUUUACCCCAGCACUAACCUUGGAUAGUGCCUUGGACAGAGUUUGUCAGCCCUUCCACUAAGUAAAAGUACUCCAGGGAGAAAUUUUUGCAUAUUUGGAUUCUUUUCGUUACUUCUCUCCAGCUUUGCUCUCAGUAUGUCCUGCAACCAUCCUUAAAGGAAAAUGGCAGUUGAGGGAGUAAUUGAAAAGAACACAUUAUUUUUAAAGAAAGUCUGUAGGUUUCCUGAGACGUUAGGUCACAUCCGUUUCUUCUUCUUUCCUGCUCACCCAGUGAAACAAGAAUAUAGAAGUGGCUUGAGAAGACUUACGACAGCCAAUAUACCUCUUUUAAUUAUACCUCUCCUGGGCACGUGUGGGAUGAAUAUAAAGUAUGUCUUUUCUUAUGUUCUUCAUGAAAAUUAAAACACCACAUAAUGGAUAAAAUCUUGUUCUAUAUGGUUUCUUUUUGAAUUUCUCAUGUGGGAUUAGAUGAUGAGGUAGAAAAAGGUAACUGCAGAAAUUGAAGAAAAAAAUUAAAAAUGCCACCUAAUAUCAUGUCCUCUUCACUCACUUGAUAUAUUAAUUCCAUAAGCAGUGCUAAAAAAUAAGAAACUAUAUGUAUGUCUAGUGAGGAUGUUGUUUUGUAGUCUUUAGCAGGGACUGCAUUGCUCUCAUAUUCCAUGACCUACUCUUUCACUUAUUUACAACAUUAUUUAUCACAUAGUGAAAAGCACUAAAAGUAAAGGGAGAUUAGAAUUUAUAGAAGUCUUUGUUGAAGCAGCACUAUUUAUACGCUUCACAUAAAACUAUGCACUUCUGGCUAUAGUGACAAUAUGCCCAAUUUUACAUAAUUGUUUUGUCUUAUUAAUUUUUGUACUUUUACCUCCAGCUAAAGAUGGUUACAGUAUCAGAAGCAUCAGUAUCUCCCACAAGUUAAAGUAGGCAUAUAGGUUAGAUGCCAUUCAAAGGUUAAGAAGACUUUCAUUGUGUUUCCCUCUUAUUCCUUUCCUUUCUGUUAGCUGAUACAAAUAAUGGUUUCUGAAAGAAGAGGGAAAAUAGGCUAACAAUAACCUCCCAGGCAGGAACUGUAAUGGGAUUCAAACUUGUCCCUGUCUUAUCUUCAUUUCCUUUCCUGGCAGGUCUGAUUGCUUAUAUGCAAUCUUGUCUUUCACAAAACGUUUCUUCAGAAAUUAUUUUAAAGUGCAUGGAAUACACAAAACAGAACAUGGAAGGAAAACUUGAUUAAAAAAAUCCAGAGUUGCAUUGCAUUUGCUCUUAACAUAUCUCAGGACUGAUCUCUUCAUGUAAACAUCUUGAAUAAUUUUUCAUCUCUCUGUGUUUCAAGUCUAUUAGCUUUUAAUUCAGAAAAACACAACUAAGAGUUUUGAAUAAUUUAAUUACUUUCUUAUUGUCUCAAAUUCCUGUUACACAUUUGUUACUGCUCAAGUACUCUGAAUUACAUCAGUUAGCUUGUAUAUAACAUUUUUUCCUCUUGGUUUCACGGUGAUGAGUAUACAAUAUGCCAUAUCUUUAUUGCAUAGUCAGUGUUGUCAGGCAAUUUUAUGUUUGCGAUCUUAAAACCACUGUUUAAAUCCAGGUUCUUGCCAUUGUAACAAUUUGAAGUAAAUGACACUAAAUAAAGUAGCUCUGUUCCUA
Long non-coding RNA from Numida meleagris (helmeted guineafowl), 2243 nucleotides. The record is from Ensembl. NCBI's taxonomy places the organism in Eukaryota, Metazoa, Chordata, Aves, Galliformes, Numididae.